Sinocyclocheilus grahami is the source of this 653-nucleotide long non-coding RNA. RefSeq lists it as uncharacterized. Lineage: Eukaryota; Metazoa; Chordata; Actinopteri; Cypriniformes; Cyprinidae. The transcript has 3 exons. The record is from RefSeq and is a predicted model, not a curated record.
GAUGAUCUGCACGUAAACAACCCAUGCGUGUGAUGCUGCUGACGUAAUACACGCAUGCGUCGUGAAACUCUCCACAAUGGAGACAGAGGGGGACUCGGGGGAGAAGAAUUGUUGGAUAAAGUUGUUAUUUUAGCUUUUUUGCGCAAAAGUAUUCUUGUAUGGGGGGGCGCUCUUGCGCGAACACGAUGUGGACGCGUUUUUAGUGAGCUCCUCACAGAUACUGUGUGUUCUCAUGGCAGCUCCGGGCAGCAAACGAGGUGGCAAAGAGACGCGGGCUAACACGGCUAGCUCGGCCGACUCGAGAGGACUGCGAAGUCGAUGUUUUUAUAAGGCUGAAAAACACGUUUAUGCCUAUGGAAUGAUGUGACGUCAUCACCACCAGAGGGACCGUCUACAAAUUACAUGACACUUUUAUGGAAAGUUGCUAAAGACUCAUUUGAGCUGAAAAGCGCUGCUUGCUUUUAUUGAAAACGUUCCAGAGCAUGUUGAUAUAUUAUACAUUUAUAUAGUUAAUAUAUUUAAUAAACAAUUUGUGCCUCAAGUGUAUUUUUUGUUGUUGCUAUUACUGUGGUUUCUUCAAUGACACAUUAUUAAGUUCAAUAGCUUUUAAAAGGCUUGAUGGACUGGUCCUGGACACAUUGGAAAAUCUUAAC